Perognathus longimembris pacificus (Pacific pocket mouse) is the source of this 364-nucleotide long non-coding RNA. RefSeq lists it as uncharacterized. The transcript is spliced from 3 exons. The record is from RefSeq and is a predicted model, not a curated record. Lineage: Eukaryota; Metazoa; Chordata; Mammalia; Rodentia; Heteromyidae.
GAGAAAAGUCUCACAGAUCUCUUGACCUGGUUGGCUUCAAACUGUGAUCCUUUGAUCUCAACUUCCUUAGCAACUGGAAAUAUAGGCAUGAGUCACUGGCACCAGGAAAUCUGCUAUUUUUAAAUAGUUCUAAAUACAGUAAAAUUUUUAUCAUUUCUAAGUGAAUUAAACCAGAGCAUCAAGUAUCUUCUUUUUCUGUGUAUUUUUCACCAAGAAUUAAACACAACAGAAAGGACUGACACUAAAUGUUAGAUAUUCUGUCAAGCACAAGUGCUUAAUGUCUUUUUGAGGUUCACUAUAAGCUAUCUCACAAAUUAUUUAAAUGUCACAAUUCAAAAUGUGGAGUCACAAUCACAGCAGACCA